GCCCCGGUGGCUCAUCGGUCUAAGCACGCGCACCAUAACUGCGGUGACCCGGUUCGAUUCCGGCUCGGGUCA
Non-coding RNA from Gymnothorax javanicus (giant moray), 72 nucleotides. The record is from the annotation of a GenBank genome assembly. NCBI's taxonomy places the organism in Eukaryota, Metazoa, Chordata, Actinopteri, Anguilliformes, Muraenidae.